This 511-nucleotide ribosomal RNA is filed under the name Staphylococcus pasteuri. RNAcentral describes it as "bacterial SSU rRNA". It matches the Rfam family "Bacterial small subunit ribosomal RNA", at positions 390 to 893 of the family's 1533-position model. The record is from RNAcentral. Lineage: Bacteria; Bacillati; Bacillota; Bacilli; Caryophanales; Staphylococcaceae.
AGCAACGCCGCGUGAGUGAUGAAGGUCUUCGGAUCGUAAAACUCUGUUAUCAGGGAAGAACAAACGUGUAAGUAACUGUGCGCGUCUUGACGGUACCUGAUCAGAAAGCCACGGCUAACUACGUGCCAGCAGCCGCGGUAAUACGUAGGUGGCAAGCGUUAUCCGGAAUUAUUGGGCGUAAAGCGCGCGUAGGCGGUUUUUUAAGUCUGAUGUGAAAGCCCACGGCUCAACCGUGGAGGGUCAUUGGAAACUGGAAAACUUGAGUGCAGAAGAGGAAAGUGGAAUUCCAUGUGUAGCGGUGAAAUGCGCAGAGAUAUGGAGGAACACCAGUGGCGAAGGCGACUUUCUGGUCUGUAACUGACGCUGAUGUGCGAAAGCGUGGGGAUCAAACAGGAUUAGAUACCCUGGUAGUCCACGCCGUAAACGAUGAGUGCUAAGUGUUAGGGGGUUUCCGCCCCUUAGUGCUGCAGCUAACGCAUUAAGCACUCCGCCUGGGAGUACGACCGCAAGG